CGGUACAUAGCAGGUCCUGAGGUAAUAGUACGCUGUCAUGGGGUGUCGGGGGUCGGAGGUUCAAAUCCUCUCGUGCCGACCA
Molecule: transfer RNA, 82 nt
Filed under: Citrobacter cronae
Lineage: Bacteria; Pseudomonadati; Pseudomonadota; Gammaproteobacteria; Enterobacterales; Enterobacteriaceae
Also listed under: 1 other name
Description: tRNA-Pro
Source: RNAcentral